This 440-nucleotide ribosomal RNA is filed under the name uncultured bacterium. RNAcentral describes it as "partial 16S ribosomal RNA". It matches the Rfam family "Bacterial small subunit ribosomal RNA", at positions 338 to 795 of the family's 1533-position model. The record is from RNAcentral.
CCUACGGGAGGCAGCAGUGGGGGAUAUUGCACAAUGGGGGAAACCCUGAUGCAGCGACGCCGCGUGUGGGAAGACGGUCCUCUGGAUUGUAAACCACUGUCGCCAGGGACGAAGAUGACGGUACCUGCGGACGAAGCUCCGGCUAACUAAGGGACAGCAGCCGCGGUAAGACGUAGGGAGCGCGCGUUCUCCGGAAUUACUGGGGGUAACGGGAGCGUAGGGGGGACAGAAAGUUGGGUGUAAAAUCUACAGGCUGAAGCGGUAGCCGCCGUUGAAACUGCAGUGCUUGAGUGAAGUAGAGGCAGGCGGAAUGCCUAGUGUAGCGGUGAAAUGCGUAGAUAUUAGGAGGAACACCAGUGGCGAAGGCGGCCUGCUGGGCCUUUACUGACGCUGAGGCUCGAAAGUGUGGGGAGCAAACAGGAUUAGAUACCCCAGUAGUC